Molecule: non-coding RNA, 324 nt
Organism: Heterocephalus glaber (naked mole-rat)
Lineage: Eukaryota; Metazoa; Chordata; Mammalia; Rodentia; Bathyergidae
Source: Rfam
AGAUAUGAGGGCGAUCUGGCUGUGACAUCUGUCACACCAUUGAUCACCAGAGUUAAUUUGGCUGAUCUGGCUGGCCAGGCGGGUGUCCUCUUCCUCCCUCACUGCUCCAUGGGCGUCCCUCCCGAAGCUGUACUCUUAGUCGAAGAGGACGACCUCCCCUGACAGAGGGGGACCAUUGCCUUGGUUAGGAUAUACGAGCAGCUGCGCUCUUCUGCUAGACCCUCCAAACAAGCUCUCAAGAGUGCUAGUGCCAUUGGUAAUUGAAGAAAAUACCAUCUUUCUCCAUUUCCUUCUCUUUCCCAAAACAGUAAUUCCAGGAUGUGG